UCCCUGGUAGUCCAGUGGUUAGGACCCUGCAUUUUCACUGCUGAGGGUGUGUGUGGGUUCAAUCCCUGGUUGGGGAA
Molecule: transfer RNA, 77 nt
Filed under: Bos taurus (domestic cattle)
Lineage: Eukaryota; Metazoa; Chordata; Mammalia; Artiodactyla; Bovidae
Also listed under: 1 other name
Rfam family: tRNA
About the family: Transfer RNA (tRNA) molecules are approximately 80 nucleotides in length. Their secondary structure includes four short double-helical elements and three loops (D, anti-codon, and T loops). Further hydrogen bonds mediate the characteristic L-shaped molecular structure. tRNAs have two regions of fundamental functional importance: the anti-codon, which is responsible for specific mRNA codon recognition, and the 3' end, to which the tRNAs corresponding amino acid is attached (by aminoacyl-tRNA synthetases). tRNAs cope with the degeneracy of the genetic code in two manners: having more than one tRNA (with a specific anti-codon) for a particular amino acid; and 'wobble' base-pairing, i.e. permitting non-standard base-pairing at the 3rd anti-codon position.
Source: Rfam by way of RNAcentral